CAAAGACAUCAUUAACAAGUUUGAUUGAUUUCAAACUUUUGAAAAACCAUAAACUUCAACUCGUAUUAUUUGUAGCAUACUUUUGUAUUUUCAGUUGUGGUUUGACCAUUACAUACAUUCCUCCGUUUGCUCGUGAAAACAACACUUCAGACGAAGAAAUAGCUAUCAUUGUUAUGCUUUUUGGAGCAUGUGAUGUUGUGGCUAGAUUCUCAAUUGCUUGGAUUUCAGAUUCUAAGAAAAUCAAAAGAACGAAUAUUUUAGGAAUUACUUUAUUAAUAACUGGUACCGUAACUAUGUUCAACAGUUUCUUUACUAAUUUUACCAGUUUUGCAAUGUUCUGCGUGGUGAACGGACUGUUUGGUUCUAUUUACUUUCCAUUUGUUCCUUUAUUAUUGGUAGACAGCGUCGGCGCCGAUAAUUUACCUUCUGCACUUUCUUUAUUGAUACUUGUGCACGGCAUAUCAAUAUCGAUCAUGGCACCAUUAAUGGGUAUGUUUUAAUUAUGUCCUAGUUAUUUGGAUUAUUUAUUUACUAGUAUUCUAAACUCUUUUGACACAGGCAUGACUUUGUUAUAUUUAGUCCAAAAAUCAUAAAGUUCAAUCAAAUAAAAAGUAAUCAGGAGAAAAAUAAAUUAGAAAAAAACCCUUUGAAAUUACAUAAACUGAAACCAUCGGAAAUGGUUUUUAUAUAUAACUGAACAUGUAAGCAGUGAAACACAAUUUGAUACAACAUUAAUGUCCUAUAACUUUGUUUAAAUUGCUCUACCGUCAGAGUUGAUUAUUUUAAAAAGAAAGGAUUAAAAAAAAUAUUCCAGAAAUACAUGCAAGGCAACAAACACAAAUCAAUGGGUUUCUGAUUUCCUUCGCACAUAUAUACUGAUGGAACUUUGAUAAAAAAAAAAAAAAUCCCCCCUUUCUAGUUGUACACAUGUAGUCAAGGGGAAGGUACCUCAUUGCAUCAGAUACUAGUAUACAGUUGUAUUUUCAUAUUUUCACUAUGUGUCAUUGUAUUGCAUUGUCACUAGUAUACUUUAUGUUUCCAGCUUUUCCUGAUCGUUUUACAGGUCAGAGUCAAACGUAUGCCGAUUAUGUGAGAGGAUAAAAAAGGGGGAUGCGUCAUAAGUACUAGUAUUCUUAAAUUUGCAUAUAUUUAAUUCUUCUUUUAGGUUAUAUACGAGAUAGUACGGGAUCUUACAAUGUUACGUUUUAUGUCAUUGGUUGUGGGAUGAUUAUCGGAGCUUUAGCAUUGUUUUGUGAUUCUUGGGUCAUGAAAUUAGAGGAACAGAGAUUACAAAAGAACAGAGAAGUUGAUAGCGAGGUGGAAGAACAGAAAUUUCAGAAAAACGAUAUAGGCCAUGAGGAAGUGGUGGCCGUCAAUGGAGAAUCGACAAA
Molecule: long non-coding RNA, 1391 nt
Filed under: Mytilus galloprovincialis (Mediterranean mussel)
Lineage: Eukaryota; Metazoa; Mollusca; Bivalvia; Mytilida; Mytilidae
Source: RNAcentral